GAAAAUUCAAUUAAAAGUAAAUUUCGUAAAACCCUAAUUUGUUCUUCAGCUCUAGUAUGAUGUCUGGGUUUGAAGAUUCAAUAUGAACAGGAUUUAUUAUAAGACCAAUUAUCAUCCUCACUUGGACUUCUCAACAUUUUCAGGUACAAAUACCCUGAAAAUUUUGUACCAGUUCACUAAGGUGUGAUAAACAAAAGGGUUCAUAUAAGAUGC
This is a long non-coding RNA of Papaver somniferum (opium poppy), 213 nucleotides long. RefSeq lists it as uncharacterized. The record is from RefSeq and is a predicted model, not a curated record. The transcript has 3 exons. NCBI's taxonomy places the organism in Eukaryota, Viridiplantae, Streptophyta, Magnoliopsida, Ranunculales, Papaveraceae.